This 407-nucleotide ribosomal RNA is filed under the name uncultured bacterium. RNAcentral's name for it is "bacterial SSU rRNA". It matches the Rfam family "Bacterial small subunit ribosomal RNA", at positions 30 to 436 of the family's 1533-position model. The record is from RNAcentral.
AUUGAACGCUGGCGGCAGGCCUAACACAUGCAAGUCGAGCGGAUGAGAAGAGCUUGCUCUUCGAUUCAGCGGCGGACGGGUGAGUAAUGCCUAGGAAUCUGCCUGGUAGUGGGGGACAACGUUUCGAAAGGAACGCUAAUACCGGCAUACGUCCUACGGGAGAAAGCAGGGGGACCUUCGGGCCUUGCGCUAUCAGAUGAGCCUAGGUCGGAUUAGCUAGUUGGUGAGGUAAUGGCUCACCAAGGCGACGAUCCGUAACUGGUCUGAGAGGAUGAUCAGUCACACUGGAACUGAGACACGGUCCAGACUCCUACGGGAGGCAGCAGUGGGGAAUAUUGGACAAUGGGCGAAAGCCUGAUCCAGCCAUGCCGCGUGUGUGAGAAGGUCUUCGGAUUGUAAAGCACUUU